Long non-coding RNA from Sabethes cyaneus, 1159 nucleotides. RefSeq lists it as uncharacterized. The record is from RefSeq and is a predicted model, not a curated record. The transcript has 2 exons. Lineage: Eukaryota; Metazoa; Arthropoda; Insecta; Diptera; Culicidae.
GCGAAGAAAAAUAAAAUGAGACUAAAGUCUGGCGCAAUGCACUUCAAUGAUUCUGAACAAAAGGACAUGAGUGUGCUGUGUCGCAGUAUCGAUCUGAACUUUACAGGUUUCAAAUUCAGGUUCUGAUCCUAAGAGUUCAAUUGAAGAAGCAUUAGAAAACGAUUACGGUCCCAGAAAGUCUGCUCUUAUAUCCAAACAACUACUAAACAACUGAUUCAAGCGAGCAUCCGGUUGACUGAAACGGAAGCUUCUAUUAGUUUUUGGUGUCCCACGAGCGAUAUUGAGCGGGUUGGACAGCAUCAGUUGGGUGCAAUGCAAUCUAAAAUUUUCUGUAAUCAUAAUUUUGCUUCAUGGACUUUAUUUGAAGAUUACAACGAUUUUAAUUCAUGAAAGAUCGCAGAGUUGGAAGAUGGUUGGAUGAUAAAUUUUGCUGCAUCUUAAAGUUGUGCCAGAAUGAUCACAUUGUUAUAAACCAACCUUACAGACGAAUGCAGAAUUUAUUAAUAUUUAAUGAACGACCCAUUGUUGUUUGAUAACGCGAGUGACUAUAAAAGCAGCCGGAAUGCACAUUACUGGCACAAACAUUGCAAGACAGUAUCACUUACAGGACUGAAAAAAAUGAGCUGGAACAUAUCAUGGAUUCCAGCGAUUCUCGUGCUACUCGCUGCGGUUUUGGAGGCGCGGGUUCCAACUGGCUGUGUAAAGCUGCAAAGUGCCAACAGCAAUGAAUAUCUCACGGUACAGUCUCUGUAUAACAGCAACCGCAGGAUUGUGAAAACCACAAAUAAGAUUGCCUAUUGGAACAUCACAAACUACGAGGGUGGAUUUUAUCGUGUGUGGAAUAUAUAUCAAAUGGAGUUUCUAUAUGCCGCUGCCGCUAAUUAUGCCCUGGAUAACCAAAGACGCCGCGUAUUUACAUGGGUCGGAGGCACUGUUGCCGAUAACGGUAUAUGGGACAUUCAAGAGCUAGAAUGUGGAACAUACUUGCUCAGGAAUCGUUAUUUCAACGAAUACCUGAUGACUGAUAAUUAUCCAGUUGGUGGUUCUAUUUAUACUGCACGUCAAGUAAAGCAAUACACCGGUCAAGAGCAAUUCCAGUGGUUAAUUUCCAAGUGUUAUUAGUGAAAUAUAAAAGGCUUUUUAUAAGCAGUAACCCGCA